UCAAUGGAGUCCUCAUUAUGAUGUGCCC
Molecule: small RNA, 28 nt
Filed under: Bombyx mori (domestic silkworm)
Lineage: Eukaryota; Metazoa; Arthropoda; Insecta; Lepidoptera; Bombycidae
Description: ovarian small RNA-24885
Source: RNAcentral